Molecule: ribosomal RNA, 873 nt
Filed under: Triticum aestivum (bread wheat)
Lineage: Eukaryota; Viridiplantae; Streptophyta; Magnoliopsida; Poales; Poaceae
Description: partial small subunit ribosomal RNA
Source: RNAcentral
AUGGCGCGCCGCGGCCUGCUGACCACCCGGGCGUACGGCUCCUUCCUGCGCGACCACAUCCCCGCCGAGCUCUCCAGCCCGGCGCCGACGGUGCUCUACUCCUACUCGCAUGCCGCCACGGGCUUCGCGGCGCGCCUCACGGGACGCCAGGCUGCGCACCUCGCGUCCUCGGCCUCCGUGCUCGCCGUCGUGCCCGACGCCAUGCUGGAGCUGCACACCACCCUCACGUCGUCAUCGGGGUCAUCGACACCGGCGUGUACCCGGAAGGCCGGGCGUCUUUCGCCGCCGAUCCGUCGCUGCCGCCCCUGCCGCCCGGCAAGUUCCGCGGCGGCUCGUCGGCGCCAAGUUCUUCCACAAGGGCCAGGAGGCUGCGCGCGGCCGUGCGUCGGCGAGGACUCCGAGUUGCCGCUUGACACCAGCGGCCAUGGCACCCACACCGCCUCGACCGCCGCCGGCUCUGCUGCUGCCGACGCAGGCUUCUACGGCUAUGGCAGAGGAAAAGCCGUCGGCAUGGCCCCGGACGCGCACAUUGCCGUCUAUAAGGCGUGCUGGGAGGAAGGGUGCCCGAGCUCUGACACCCUCGCCGCGUUUGAUGAGGCCAUCGCGGACGGCGUCGACGUUAUCUCUGCGUUGCUCAGUGCCGACGGCAAGGCCCCUGACUUCUACGCCGAUAUCAUCGCCGUGGGCGCGUUCCGGGCCGUCAGCAAAGGCAUACUCGUCUCCGCCUCCGCGGGAAACUCCGGCCCUGAAGAAUACACCGCCGCCAACAUAGCGCCGUGGUUUUUGACGGUGGGCGCGUCCACGCUCAACCGCCAGUUCCGGGCAGACGCCGUUCUCGGCAACGGCAAGACCUUCACGGGCACUUAUCUCUAG